AUACGGAGGGUCCGAGCGUUAUCCGGAAUCAUUGGGUUUAAAGGGUCCGUAGGCGGGAAUCUAAGUCAGUGGUGAAAUCUUGCAGCUCAACUGUAAAAUUGCCAUUGAUACUGGAUUUCUUGAAUUAGUGUGAAGUGGUUAGAAUGUGUAGUGUAGCGGUGAAACGCAUAGAUAUUACACAGAAUACCAAUUGCGAAGGCAGAUCACUAACACUAUAUUGACGCUAAGGGACGAAAGCGUGGGGAGCGAACAGGAUUAGAAACCCGGGUAGUCC
This 274-nucleotide ribosomal RNA is filed under the name uncultured bacterium. RNAcentral's name for it is "partial 16S ribosomal RNA". It matches the Rfam family "Bacterial small subunit ribosomal RNA", at positions 523 to 796 of the family's 1533-position model. The record is from RNAcentral.